Long non-coding RNA from Myodes glareolus (Bank vole), 1616 nucleotides. RefSeq lists it as uncharacterized. The record is from RefSeq and is a predicted model, not a curated record. NCBI's taxonomy places the organism in Eukaryota, Metazoa, Chordata, Mammalia, Rodentia, Cricetidae.
CCUGAGCCCUGGCUGAGAAUGAAGGGUUGUUCUUGAGGAGUCGUUGAAGCCCUAGGCAGAUUCAUACAAUCGGUAAAAACAGGGAUUUUCACACUCCCUGAAGCAAGAGUUAAUAAGAAGCCACACAGACUCGCUCAGAUUUCCUGUCAGACCUCUCCUCUGGAUCCUAUCAGAUUCCUGGGGCCUCCCAAAGGAUCCCACACGGGGCAUUGCAUCCAGGAACUGCCAUCCCACCACAGAACACUGCCCUGGAUUCUCAGGCCAGAGCCAGCACCAGGUCACUCAGGAUGCCACUCUUGUCCCUUCAGAAGCAAAGGAUUCAGGUAAACUGCCAAGGAGGCAAAGACCUGCAAUCCCAGCCGUCAGGAACGAAGCAAGACAAUCAUGAGUUUGAAGCCAACCUGGCUACAUGAUGAGACUCCGUCUCCGGCAAAUGAGCAAAGGAACUGAGUGGAAAGGCAGGCUCGGGAGAUGGUCUUGGGGAGAAUAAAGGUUCUGGCUCGAGCUCUGCAGGAGGAGUCACCCUUGUUGUCGGUCAGCACCUGGAACGUGAAUCUGUCCCAUCUCCAGAAAACACUAUUCCCGUCCCUGAGCCCCAGCUCCCUACCCCCUCACCUCCUUUAUCCCCCAAGACCACCUCCUGAUCAUGGUCUAUCGUGUGACUCACUUCAAAGAAGAGCCGUGCGUCUUUUCUUCUGUUAAUCAAUUGACUGAUUUUGGAAAGGGUCUCACGUAACUCAGGCUAGCCUUGUGAACUCCUGAACUCUUGACCUUCCCACCUCCACCUUGAGCGUGCAGAAAUGACAGGCACGCACUACCGCACCAGGUUCACGUGAUCCUGAGGAUUGAACCUGGGGCUUCCUGCAGGCUACGCAAGAGCUUUACCAACUGAGCCACGCCCCAGACCUGAAUAAAGUGACUUAAAAGAUAACUCACAAUCUAGACAGAAUAUGACAUUGAGGUAAGAACUAGAAUAUCUCAAAGACCAGGAAGAAAAGACUCUCAUGGCUAUGGUGACACACACGUGUAAUGCCAGCACUUGGGAGCUAAGACAGGAGAAUCGCCACAAGUUGGAGGCCAGCCUGGACAGUAUAACAAAACUCUGUUUUAACCCAUGAGAGGGACUGGAGGAGAAGCUAUCUCUACUCUCUUGUCUUCUUUUUAUUUUAAAGACUUUUAAAAAUUAAAUUUACUUAUUUACUUAAAUGGGCAGAGGUAUGAGCCUAGGUGUGCUUGUGGAAGCCAGAGGGUGACUUAUGGGGGUGGCAUCUGGCCUAGAGGUGCCUCACUUUCCACCGCACAGACGCUCCUCCUACGUCGUGGGGUCUAGGGAUCGAACGUUAGGUCAUCAGGGUUGGCGGGAAAGCACCUUUACCUGCUGAUCCAUAUUACCCUUCUUCCACUCUCUCCUCUACAGUCCUUCAAUCCUCCCCACCCCCGCAACACAAGAGUUUUUCAUUUUCAGAAAACUCUUCCCUAGCUCAUGUAGCUCAGACUUGUAAUCUUAGCACUUGAGAGCCCGAGGCAGGAGGAUUGCCACGAUUUUGAAGCCAUCAUGGGCUAUAGUGGAAAUUCUAAGCCAGGGUUUCUAUAGAGCAAGACCUUGUUUCAAACAA